GGUGGAUGGUAUAGGGUGCGUCAGUGGUGCCUUGGGGUGUGAUUCUUUUCUUUUCGUUUCUUUUCUUUCUUUUAUUUUUUUUACGGGAAAGGAAGCAGUUCUAGGAUAAGUUUGCUUUGGAUACUUAAAGGUACUGAGAUAUUGGUUAAGUUUACAUGGAUGAGAACUGGUAAUUUAUGCUGGAAACUAGCAAUUCAACGCAAAACCCAAGUUAUCUGUUGUAAAAGUAAAUAAGGUUGUUUUAGAUUCUUAAAGGUACUGAGAUAUUGCUUAAGUUUACAUGGAUGAGAACUGGUAAUUUAUGCUGGAAACUAGCAAUUCAACGCAAAACCCAAAUUAUCUGUUGUAUAAGUAAAUAAGGUUGUUUUAGAUUCUUAAAGGUACUGAGAUAUUGCUUAAGUUUGCAUGGAUGAGAACUGGUAAUUUAUGCUGGAAACUAGCAAUUCAACGCAAAACCCAAAUUAUCUGUUGUAUAAGUAAAUAAGGGUGUUUUAGAUUCUUGAAGGAACCGAGUCAUAAGUUAGGUUUACAUGGAUGAGUAUUGGUGCUUUAUGCUGGAAACUCGUGAUUCAACGCAAAACCCAAAUCAUCUGUUGUAAAAAUAAAUAAUACCAAGGUUGUUUUAGAUUCUUGAAGGAACCGAGUCAUAAGUUAGGUUUAUAUGGAUGAGUAUUGGUGCUUUAUGCUGGGACCUAGUGAUUCAAUGCUAAAUAAAGAUAUGUUGUAAGAGUAAACAAAUCAACCUUUAAAAUAUAAGACAAAACAUGAACUGAUCUGACUUUAAACAUAAAUAAAUAAAUGAGCAACAGAUUUUGGGGUAUAUAAAGAAGUGAAACAAAAACUGCUGAUAUGAAAGUGUAGUAAAAAAAGAAAUAGAAUAAUAUGAAUGGAAAUAAUCGCCCUUAGGAGACCUGCUACAAGAAUAUAGAAGUUCAGUAAAGUUAAUACGAUCCAAAUCUCUACCAAGGUAUAGAAGACUUACUAAGAUUAGCAUGUAUACAAGAGAGAAAAGUUACAGGUUAAUAAGAGAUAGAAAGUUGGAAAGUUUCGUUUAGUCGGCGCAACAUCUAUGGUCAUAUGCCGGAGAGAGACAGAAGGGGAAGGAAUUAUAGGAGGGGUUAAUGAGAGAUACUACCUACAUCCCUUCAAUAGUUCCCCCUACAAGAAACAGAAUACAAGGGAAAAAAGUAGUAAUCAAUUAACCUCAAUAAAAAAAUAGAAGAUUGCAGUAGUGCUUGAACUAAUGAGGAUAAGAUGAUGGAUAGUGGCAAAGAUGGAAUGACAAUGCAAAUAUUCAUAGGGACAAAAGUACUAAUCAAUUAACCUCAAUUAAAAAAAAAGUACAAAAUUGAAGUAAUGCUUGAAGUAAUGAGGACAAGAAGGUGAUGGAUGGUGACACAGAUGGAGCGAAAAUGCAAAGAAUAUUCAGAAGGACAAAAAAGUUAACUGCAACCCCACCGAUUAUAGUUUUUUGAAUGUUUAAAGAAGAAAUUCAAUCAGUUAAAAGAAUGAAUUUAAACCCCUAAUCACAUACAGUUCUGAAAACGUUAGAUGAAGAAAUGAUAAUAAUAUAAAAAAAAAUUAGUUCUGAAAAUGUUUGAAAGAAGAAAAUCAACAUUGGUCAAUAGAACUAAAAAUACCAAAUCAAACUAAAAGAAUAAUAUAGGAAAUACAUAUCAAUUUUUCCCUGCAAAAUAAAGAUACAGAAAAACACUACCCAUCCCACUACUCAUCCCAUAAUUAUCCCCAAAGAACAACAACCUUAUAAACAAACAUAAAAUUAGACAUAACAUCCUACUGAACAACACUACAUAAAGAGGGAUUAUAUAAGUACUACAAACUACUACAAUAUAACAACAAUAACAACUUUAAAAUAUCGCUUAUACGUCUUCAUUCACGGAUUAAAAAUGAGUAACCAUGCAACAUCCAGUGGUAUUAUUAUUAUUAUUAUUAUUGUUAUGAACCAUCUCAGGCAUGCCAAAAACAUUACUUUAGUCUGCCCUUCAUUCCUCAGCGAAGGGGGCAUGAACAUAGCUACACACGGGUCAGCCAGUCAGUCACAUCGCCAGGCAAGCAAAAUACAUCAGCUACCCAUCAAUUUACAGCCUCUGGGAUGUAAACAAUCAGGGUUAUUUCAGCUGUUAACACUACCAGCACAAUCUUGAAGCCAUGCAGUCUGGAGGAAGCAAGGUACAUUAAACAAGCUCUCCCUAUGUGCUGGCCUCGAGUGGGACAUACGAGAACUAGAGGGGAGCAAGAGGGAAGAGGGGAACGUCUCUAUGACAUCCUCAGGUGGGGUAUGGGUAAAUGUUUAUUGGCAAAGGCACUGUAACCUUACCUUUGCACACAGGAGCUAUAUGAGGGUAAUAGGGAAGAGGGGGGAUGAGGGGCACGUCUAUGGCAUCCUCAGGUAGGGUGUGGGCUGGUGUUUAAUUGGCAAAGGUACAACAUUCACCUUUGCAUUUUUCAAGAGUGGCACACCUUUGCAGUUUUAAGAUAUAGAAAAUUUUGGGGCACUAGUAAAUUUCUGAGAUGGGAUAUGAUGAAAAAAUUGGGCGUGAGUUCUGUUUCUCAAGGGCAUUUUAGUCAUGUUUUCAGAGGUGGAUCAGGCAGCCGAGAGACAAGGCACAGCAGGGUAGCAAAGGGACUCCAGCGACCUUCAGACAUGCAGACAAAAAAGACACGUAUUCUCAAACAUUACGAGGCUCACAAACCCACACUGGAUAAGGCUCUAGUAGAGGUUGUUGUGAGUAUUUCCAUGGGUACUAUUAAGACCCUAGUGAUAGUUUGGCAAGGCUUCUGUAUUGUGAAUAUGAUUACAAUUCAUUAGAACCAUUUCAGGGCUCACAC
This is a long non-coding RNA of Eriocheir sinensis (Chinese mitten crab), 2850 nucleotides long. RefSeq lists it as uncharacterized. The record is from RefSeq and is a predicted model, not a curated record. The transcript has 3 exons. NCBI's taxonomy places the organism in Eukaryota, Metazoa, Arthropoda, Malacostraca, Decapoda, Varunidae.